Molecule: ribosomal RNA, 275 nt
Filed under: uncultured Bdellovibrio sp.
Lineage: Bacteria; Pseudomonadati; Bdellovibrionota; Bdellovibrionia; Bdellovibrionales; Pseudobdellovibrionaceae
Description: partial 16S ribosomal RNA
Rfam family: Bacterial small subunit ribosomal RNA
Source: RNAcentral
CCUACGGGGGGCUGCAGUAGGGAAUAUUGCACAAUGGGGGAAACCCUGAUGCAGCGACGCCGCGUGAGUGAUGAAGGCCUUCGGGUCGUAAAGCUCUGUCGUAUGGGACUAACACAAUGAAGGUACCAUGCAAGAAAGGAUCGGCUAACUUCGUGCCAGCAGCCGCGGUAAGACGAGGGAUCCUAGCGUUGUUCGGAAUCAUUGGGCGUAAAGCGGGUGUAGGCGGUCUUAUAAGUCAGGUGUGAAAGCCCAGGGCUCAACCCUGGAAGUGCACU